RNAcentral lists this long non-coding RNA (389 nucleotides) under Ictidomys tridecemlineatus (thirteen-lined ground squirrel). Its description in RNAcentral is "lncRNA (ENSSTOG00000034978.1)". Lineage: Eukaryota; Metazoa; Chordata; Mammalia; Rodentia; Sciuridae. The record is from RNAcentral.
CUGACUUUUCCCCUUCCCCCUGCCAUUCCCCCUUCCUUUCCACCUCUUCCCCGGUGUGGCGCUCCUCCGCAGGCAGGCUGGCGGGCAGCACGGCGGCGCGGGUGUGCGAGGUGGACGGCUGCCGCAGCGAGACCAAGCUCCAGCGUCGACCACCUGGAACUCUUGCAUCCAGUCUGUCUUGGUUUAAUCAUACACUUCAUCACAUCAGGCUGAACAAAGAGAGACAGGAGGAAAAGGAGGAAGUGGAAGAAGCCCUGAAGGACUCAUUGAUGAGGGCCAUAAGACAUCCUCCAGUUACUAUGAAUUGCCUGAUAUCCACCAACCUCCCUGCCGCAGUGUUGACUGUUGGGUCUCAGCAUGGAGCUGCAAGUGGAGGAGGACAUGCAUGA